UACUGCAUUUUUUCUUACACAUGUGUUUUUCUUUUUUUGAAAACUUUGCUUUGGUAGGGGUCGUAUGGGGCCUGCCAGAGAUUAAACUCAACCAAAUUUUAUUUAAUGUCAACCGAUUAUUUAAUAGUCAAAACUUUCAACAACGGAUCUCUUGGUUCUCGCAUCGAUGAAGAACGCAGCGAAAUGCGAUAAGUAAUAUGAAUUGCAGAUAUUCGUGAAUCAUCGAAUCUUUGAACGCACAUUGCGCCCUUUGGUAUUCCAAAGGGCAUGCCUGUUUGAGCGUCAUUUCUCCCUCAAACCCUCGGGUUUGGUGUUGAGCGAUACGCUGGGUUUGCUUGAAAGAAAGGCGGAGUAUAAACUAAUGGAUAGGUUUUUUCCACUCAUUGGUACAAACUCCAAAACUUCUUCCAAAUUCGACCUCAAAUCAGGUAGGACUACCCGCUGAACUUAAGCAUAUCAAUAAGCGGAGG
This 470-nucleotide ribosomal RNA is filed under the name Lodderomyces parapsilosis. RNAcentral's name for it is "eukaryotic LSU rRNA". The stretch from base 132 to 285 matches the Rfam family "5.8S ribosomal RNA". The record is from RNAcentral. Lineage: Eukaryota; Fungi; Ascomycota; Pichiomycetes; Serinales; Debaryomycetaceae.